RNAcentral lists this ribosomal RNA (253 nucleotides) under uncultured bacterium. RNAcentral's name for it is "partial 16S ribosomal RNA". It matches the Rfam family "Bacterial small subunit ribosomal RNA", at positions 524 to 776 of the family's 1533-position model. The record is from RNAcentral.
UACAGAGGUCCCAAGCGUUGUUCGGAUUCAUUGGGCGUAAAGGGUGCGUAGGCGGCGCGGUAAGUCGGGUGUGAAAUCCUGGAGCUUAACUCCGAAACUGCAUUCGAUACUGCGGUGCUUGAGGACUGGAGAGGAGACUGGAAUUUACGGUGUAGCAGUGAAAUGCGUAGAGAUCGUAAGGAAGACCAGUGGCGAAGGCGGGUCUCUGGACAGUUCCUGACACUGAGGCACGAAGGCCAGGGGAGCAAACGGG